GUCUACAGCCACACUACCCUGAAUAUACCCUAUCUCUGAUCCUGGAGGCUAAGCAGGGUCAGACCAGAUUAAUACCGGGAUGGGAGUUUCCCUAGGAAAGGGAACUAAGGACU
This 113-nucleotide ribosomal RNA is filed under the name Nannospalax galili (Upper Galilee mountains blind mole rat). Lineage: Eukaryota; Metazoa; Chordata; Mammalia; Rodentia; Spalacidae. The record is from RNAcentral.